Molecule: long non-coding RNA, 574 nt
Filed under: Drosophila guanche
Lineage: Eukaryota; Metazoa; Arthropoda; Insecta; Diptera; Drosophilidae
Source: RNAcentral
UGAAACAAACUGAAAUCGCAGCUGCAGCACACGAUCCUCGCCCGAUGACAAAUGGCCACAUGCAACACUCGCCUCCACACGUACUAUGUACAGGGAGGAGGGAGGAGUAGCUGGUGCUGUCGCUGUUGCUGUUCCUGUCGGAGGAGGACUAGGGAGAGGCGGCUGUGGGCCAUGUCUUGGCGGCAUCACGCAUCAAGUUGCGAUUUUCGCAAUAAAUCUAAAUUAGCCAACUCAAAAGCGGCUGGUUCCUGGUUUCCAGCACUAUUACGAUCACCCCUGCUAUACUCUCUCCAGCUGAUCCUCCUCCACUGCCACUUGGCCAAUCAAUUAGGGUCCAGAAGAAGCUAAUUUUCCAAACCGAUCUGCGGGACUGUGAGAAAUGUUUUUGUUGCUGUUGGAAUUUCCAUUGUUGCUGGCUUUUUGUUGCUUGUUGGUGGAUUUCAACGCUCGCAUAAAUCAUAGAACCUUUUUAAACACGACUUUGAACGUAUGAUUUCAACACAAAUUUGUAAAUAAAUUAGAUCGUGAUUAUGGCCAACAUCAAUAUCUAUCUUCAACGUCAUCGGCAUCUCCC